This is a long non-coding RNA of Hemibagrus wyckioides, 482 nucleotides long. RefSeq lists it as uncharacterized. The transcript has 3 exons. Lineage: Eukaryota; Metazoa; Chordata; Actinopteri; Siluriformes; Bagridae. The record is from RefSeq and is a predicted model, not a curated record.
AUCUGUCUCUAUUACCACCGGGGUAGACACCGAGACAACAAGACCCAGGGGAUCUCUGCCUGCAUCUCAACUACUGGCUUUUAUGACUGUAUUUUUCGCAAGCCAUCCUCCCGAAGUCCCCAUUAACUGUACGUUAUAGGGUGUCCCUGCCCUAACACACCUGACUCAGCUCUUCAGCUCAUUAACAAACGCUUGACGAGGUUCCAACGGAUGCUGGCACGUGGAAAACGCCACAAAACAAACGUGCAGUGCAGGGCUACUCCAGGAGUAGGGCUAGGAAGCGGCGCAUUAAGCUGAGGCUGGUGGAAAACUAGAAAUUGGAAGCAGGGAGAAUUUCAGCAAAGUCAGGUCUUCUCUCAAUCUCUCCUUAAGAGCCCGAGGCCUACUCUGAGUGAUUUAUCAACACUACUCAUGAGGGAUUUCUAACUCAGUGGUAGGUCAUGUACCUCUUUUCUUUUUUUACUUCAAAAACAUACUCCUCU